This 482-nucleotide ribosomal RNA is filed under the name uncultured bacterium. Its description in RNAcentral is "partial 16S ribosomal RNA". It matches the Rfam family "Bacterial small subunit ribosomal RNA", at positions 30 to 507 of the family's 1533-position model. The record is from RNAcentral.
AUUGAACGCUGGCGGCAUGCUUUACACAUGCAAGUCGAACGGUAACAGGUCUUCGGAUGCUGACGAGUGGCGAACGGGUGAGUAAUACAUCUGAACGUGCCUAGUAGUGGGGGAUAACUACUCGAAAGAGUAGCUAAUACCGCAUGAGAUCUACGUAUGAAAGCAGGGGACCUUCGGGCCUUGUGCUACUAGAGCGGCUGAUGGCAGAUUAGGUAGUUGGUGGGGUAAAGGCUUACCAAGCCUGCGAUCUGUAGCUGGUCUGAGAGGACGACCAGCCACACUGGGACUGAGACACGGCCCAGACUCCUACGGGAGGCAGCAGUGGGGAAUUUUGGACAAUGGGCGAAAGCCUGAUCCAGCAAUGCCGCGUGCAGGAUGAAGGCCCUCGGGUUGUAAACUGCUUUUGUACGGAACGAAAAGCCUGGGGCUAAUAUCCCCGGGUCAUGACGGUACCGGAAGAAUAAGCACCGGCUAACUACGUG